Molecule: long non-coding RNA, 524 nt
Organism: Acinonyx jubatus (cheetah)
Lineage: Eukaryota; Metazoa; Chordata; Mammalia; Carnivora; Felidae
Exons: 3
Source: RefSeq, a predicted model, not a curated record
GUCAUCAUCAUCAUCUUCACCUUUCUCAGGAUCAUUUGCAGAAGCAACUGGUGGCAGUGUCUGACUUUCACUUACAGUUCGACUACAUCCUGUGGUUAGCGCUUGUAAAGCAAUCUGAGAAGUAUCAACAUCUUCCUUGCUGCAUGACAAGUCUCAAAUUUGGACAAGUAACAGCAACACACAGCGUUAAUGACUAACACAUGACUAAGCCAAGUGGGCCUCUGCAGUCCUAGCCAACCUCCUCUGCUUCUGACUGAAUGGCUGAAAAGAACUGCCUCUUCUUGCAACUGGUUAGGUAAAUGGAAUCAAGACACAGGUGGGUAGGACCCAAAGUCAUCACUUAAACCACAUGGAUUAAGUCAUAUUCUCCAACUUAGCCCCUAUCGGUUAAUAUUCUACCUUGGUGAUGCAAGUAGUACAGAAUACCUACUUUACUGGUUUAAUAAAUAAACCAAUACUGAUUCCUUUGCAUUUUGCUAUCGGCUGUGUGUGUGUGUGUGUGUGUGUGUGCGCGUGCGCGCGAG